Molecule: ribosomal RNA, 506 nt
Filed under: uncultured bacterium
Lineage: Bacteria
Description: partial 16S ribosomal RNA
Rfam family: Bacterial small subunit ribosomal RNA
Source: RNAcentral
AUUGAACGCUAACGGCGUGCUUAACACAUGCAAGUCGAGCGGCAGCAUGACUGUAGCAAUACAGUUGAUGGCGAGCGGCGGACGUGUGAGUAAUGCAUAGGAAUCUGCCUUGUAGUGGGGGAUAACCCGGGGAAACUCGGGCUAAUACCGCAUAAUCUCUACGGAGCAAAGUGGGGGACCUUCGGGCCCUACGCUAAAAGAUGAGCCUAUGUUGGAUUAGCUAGUUGGUAGGGUAAAGGCCUACCAAGGCAACGAUCCAUAGCUGGUCUGAGGGGAUGAUCAGCCACACUGGGACUGAGACACGGCCCAGACUCCUACGGGAGGCAGCAGUGGGGAAUAUUGGACAAUGGGCGAAAGCCUGAUCCAGCAACGCCGUGUGUGUGAAGAAGGCCUUCGGGUUGUAAAGCACUUUUAGUGGGGAAGAAAAGUUCAUGGCUAAUAUCCAUGAAUGCUGACGUUACCCACAGAAAAAGCACUGGCUAACUCUGUGCCAGCAGCCGCCGUAA